This 425-nucleotide ribosomal RNA is filed under the name uncultured bacterium. Its description in RNAcentral is "partial 16S ribosomal RNA". It matches the Rfam family "Bacterial small subunit ribosomal RNA", at positions 354 to 796 of the family's 1533-position model. The record is from RNAcentral.
GUGGGGAAUAUUGGACAAUGGGCGAAAGCCUGAUCCAGCCAUGCCGCGUGAGUGAUGAAGGCCCUAGGGUUGUAAAGCUCUUUCAGUGGGGAAGAUAAUGACGGUACCCACAGAAGAAGCCCCGGCUAACUUCGUGCCAGCAGCCGCGGUAAUACGAAGGGGGCUAGCGUUGUUCGGAUUUACUGGGCGUAAAGGGCGCGUAGGCGGACAGUUUAGUCAGAGGUGAAAGCCCAGGGCUCAACCUUGGAAUUGCCUUUGAUACUGGCUGUCUUGAGUACGGGAGAGGUGAGUGGAACUCCGAGUGUAGAGGUGAAAUUCGUAGAUAUUCGGAAGAACACCAGUGGCGAAGGCGGCUUACUGGUCCAUUACUGACGCUGAGGUGCGAAAGCGUGGGGAGCAAACAGGAUUAGAUACCCCUGUAGUCC